UACGUAGGGGGCGAGCGUUGUCCGGAAUCAUUGGGCGUAAAGCGCGUGUAGGCGGCUUGGUAAGUCUGGUGUGAAAACUUGGGGCUCAACCCCAAGCCUGCACUGGAUACUGCCUCGCUGGAGUCCGGGAGGGGAGAGCGGAAUUCCUAGUGUAGCGGUGAAAUGCGCAGAUAUUAGGAAGAACACCGGUGGCGAAGGCGGCUCUCUGGAACGGUACUGACGCUGAGACGCGAAAGCGUGGGGAGCAAACAGG
RNAcentral lists this ribosomal RNA (253 nucleotides) under uncultured bacterium. RNAcentral's name for it is "partial 16S ribosomal RNA". It matches the Rfam family "Bacterial small subunit ribosomal RNA", at positions 524 to 776 of the family's 1533-position model. The record is from RNAcentral.